UGGGGAAUAUUGCACAAUGGGCGAAAGCCUGAUGCAGCGACGCCGCGUGAGGGACGACGGCCUUCGGGUUGUAAACCUCUUUCAGCAGGGACGAAGCGCAAGUGACGGUACCUGCAGAAGAAGCACCGGCUAACUACGUGCCAGCAGCCGCGGUAAUACGUAGGGUGCAAGCGUUGUCCGGAAUUACUGGGCGUAAAGAGUUCGUAGGCGGUUUGUCGCGUCGUUUGUGAAAACCAGCAGCUCAACUGCUGGCUUGCAGGCGAUACGGGCAGACUUGAGUACUGCAGGGGAGACUGGAAUUCCUGGUGUAGCGGUGAAAUGCGCAGAUAUCAGGAGGAACACCGGUGGCGAAGGCGGGUCUCUGGGUAGUAACUGACGCUGAGGAACGAAAGCGUGGGUAGCGAACAGG
This 409-nucleotide ribosomal RNA is filed under the name bacterium. RNAcentral describes it as "partial 16S ribosomal RNA". It matches the Rfam family "Bacterial small subunit ribosomal RNA", at positions 355 to 776 of the family's 1533-position model. The record is from RNAcentral.